UACGAAGGGGGCUAGCGUUGCUCGGAAUCACUGGGCGUAAAGGGCGCGUAGGCGGACUUUUAAGUCAGGGGUGAAAGCCCAAGGCUCAACCUUGGAAUUGCCUUUGAUACUGAGGGUCUCGAGACCGGAAGAGGUGAGUGGAACUGCGAGUGUAGAGGUGAAAUUCGUAGAUAUUCGCAAGAACACCAGUGGCGAAGGCGGCUCACUGGUCCGGUUCUGACGCUGAGGCGCGAAAGCGUGGGGAGCAAACAGGAUUAGAUACCCGCGUAGUCC
RNAcentral lists this ribosomal RNA (273 nucleotides) under uncultured bacterium. RNAcentral describes it as "partial 16S ribosomal RNA". It matches the Rfam family "Bacterial small subunit ribosomal RNA", at positions 524 to 796 of the family's 1533-position model. The record is from RNAcentral.